UACGGAGGGUGCAAGCGUUGUUCGGAAUUAUUGGGCGUAAAGGGCACGUAGGUGGUCUUGUAAGUCUACUGUGAAAUCCCUGGGCUUAACCCAGGAAGUGCGGUGGAUACUGCAGGACUAGAGUAUCGGAGGGGUGCGUGGAAUUCCCGGUGUAGCGGCGAAAUGCGUAGAUAUCGGGAGGAACACCGGUGGCGAGGGCGGUUCUCUGGGCCUGUACUGACGCUGAGGAGCGAAAGCGUGGGGAGCGAACAGG
Molecule: ribosomal RNA, 253 nt
Filed under: uncultured bacterium
Lineage: Bacteria
Description: partial 16S ribosomal RNA
Rfam family: Bacterial small subunit ribosomal RNA
Source: RNAcentral